Molecule: long non-coding RNA, 149 nt
Organism: Chiroxiphia lanceolata (lance-tailed manakin)
Lineage: Eukaryota; Metazoa; Chordata; Aves; Passeriformes; Pipridae
Exons: 3
Source: RefSeq, a predicted model, not a curated record
AUGCUUCUUGAAGUCUGUCAGGCUUGGUGCUGUGACCACUUCCCUGGGGAGCCUGUUCCAGUGCUCAACUACCCUCUAGGUGAAGAGCCUUUUCCUAAUAUCUAGCCUAAACCUCCUCUGACACAGCUUUAUUCCAUACUUAAUGAGAG